RNAcentral lists this ribosomal RNA (489 nucleotides) under uncultured bacterium. RNAcentral describes it as "partial 16S ribosomal RNA". It matches the Rfam family "Bacterial small subunit ribosomal RNA", at positions 28 to 507 of the family's 1533-position model. The record is from RNAcentral.
GAUGAACGCUAGCUACAGGCUUAACACAUGCAAGUCGAGGGGCAGCAUGAACUUAGCUUGCUAAGUUUGAUGGCGACCGGCGCACGGGUGAGUAACACGUAUCCAACCUGCCGAUGACUCGGGGAUAGCCUUUCGAAAGAAAGAUUAAUACCCGAUGGCAUAGUUCUUCCGCAUGGUAGAACUAUUAAAGAAUUUCGGUCAUCGAUGGGGAUGCGUUCCAUUAGGUUGUUGGCGGGGUAACGGCCCACCAAGCCUUCGAUGGAUAGGGGUUCUGAGAGGAAGGUCCCCCACAGUGGAACUGAGACACGGUCCAAACUCCUACGGGAGGCAGCAGUGAGGAAGAUUGGUCAAUGGACGAGAGUCUGAACCAGCCAAGUAGCGUGAAGGAUGACUGCCCUAUGGGUUGUAAACUUCUUUUAUACGGGAAUAAAGUGAGGCACGUGUGCCUUUUUGUAUGUACCGUAUGAAUAAGGAUCGGCUAACUCCGUG